This is a long non-coding RNA of Coregonus clupeaformis (lake whitefish), 1032 nucleotides long. RefSeq lists it as uncharacterized. NCBI's taxonomy places the organism in Eukaryota, Metazoa, Chordata, Actinopteri, Salmoniformes, Salmonidae. The record is from RefSeq and is a predicted model, not a curated record. The transcript has 3 exons.
CAGGAUCUUGUUUGCAGACUUCUUCCUGGUUAACCUGAUCCUGUGGGUGGAGGGCUUCUUGGCAGGCAUCCCCUUCGGCACACUGGUGGCCAGCUUGGCUUUGUGGUUUGGCAUCUCCGUGCCACUUACCUUCGUGGGCGCCUAGCCUACUUCGGCCUCAAGAGGCCUGCGAUUGAGCAGCCAGUGCAAACCGAGAAGAUCACUCGGCAGAUCCAUGAACUUUCCUUCUUCACCAAGCCCGUGCCCGGAAUCGUCAUGGAUGGGCAUCCAUCCAUUCGGCUGGAUCUUCAUCCAGCUCUUCUUCAUCCUCAACAGCAUCUGGUUUGGGUUCCUGGUGUUCAUCAUUUUCCUCAUCACCUACUCCAAGGUCACCAUCCUGCUGUGCUACUUCCACUUGUGUGCAGAGGUGGUGGCACGCCUUCCUGACCAGUCUCUUCAUGGCAGUCUACCUGUUUGUCUACGACAUGGACUACUUCUUCUCUAAGCUGCAGAUCAUCAGCCACUACCAUCCUCUAAUUCACCAUGAUCAUGGUGCUCAUAUUCUUCUUCUUCACAAGGGAGUCAACGACAGUGCCACACUACGCAAGGCUAGACUCAGUAACAGGUUUUUGCAGAGGAGCCUAAACAAAUGGGGUAUCUCUUGAUUUUCACUUUAAUAAACAGUGUUGGAGCUUUUGGUCGACUCAUCGGCUGUUUCCAGCCCCCUUCCUCAAUAGGAAUUUUAUCCGUGUAGUAUCUGAAGAGUCUAGGAUUGUGCUGACGUUUACAAAAGUGUGUUAGAGGAAACGUGGCUCUUUUUGCUGAAACAUCUGGAAAGCAUUACUAAAUUCCUGGAAAAGAGGAUAUGUAAUGGCCAGGGAUUGGAUGUUAGAAUCACGCCAUGCUCUGGCCAUGUAUGAUAUAAAUGCCAUGUCUUGAACAGAGAGGGGAGAAUAGCAAAUUACUGAUUGGCUGUGCUGUCUCACAGAUAUCUGCAGAAUCUGUCAAAUUCCGAUGCUGGAACCUUUGUUAUAAUAAACCUUUAAAAACAGA